This 406-nucleotide ribosomal RNA is filed under the name uncultured bacterium. Its description in RNAcentral is "partial 16S ribosomal RNA". It matches the Rfam family "Bacterial small subunit ribosomal RNA", at positions 30 to 526 of the family's 1533-position model. The record is from RNAcentral.
AUUGAACGCUGGCGGCAGGCCUAACACAUGCAAGUCGAACGAGUGGCGUCAGGGUGAGUAAUGUAUGGGGAUCUGCCCGAUAGAGGGGGAUAACUACUGGAAACGGAGGCUAAUACCGCAUACUAUCGGAUGAACCCAUAUGGGAUUCGCUAGUAGGUGGGGGAAAGGCUCACCUAGGCGACGAUCUCUAGCUGGUCUGAGAGGCUGAUCAGCCACACUGGGACUGAGACACGGCCCAGACUCCUACGGGAGGCAGCAGUGGGGAAUAUUGCACAAUGGGCGCAAGCCUGAUGCAGCCAUGCCGCGUGUGUGAAGAAGGCCUGCGGGUUGUAAAGCACUUUCAGCGAGGAGGCGUUACUCGCAGAAGAAGCACCGGCUAACUCCGUGCCAGCAGCCGCGGUAAUAC